UGGAGGCAGCAGUGAGGAAUUUUGCGCAAUGGCCGCAAGGCUGACGCAACAACGCCGCGUGGGUGAAGAAGGCCUUCGGGUCGUAAAGCCCUGUCAGGUGGGAAGAAGUGUGCGGGAUUGAAUAGGUUUCGCAUUUGACGGUACCACCAGAGGAAGCACCGGCUAACUCCGUGCCAGCAGCCGCGGUAAUACGGAGGGUGCAUGCGUUAUUCGGAAUUACUGGGCGUAAAGCGCGUGUAGGCGGGAAGGUAAGUCUGAUGUGAAAGCCCCGGGCUUAACCCGGGAAGUGCAUUGGAAACUGCUUUUCUUGAGUACUGGAGAGGAAGGGAGAAUUCCCGGUGUAGAGGUGAAAUUCGUAGAGAUCGGGAGGAACAUCAGUGGCGAAGGCGCCCUUCUGGACAGUUACUGACGCUGAGACGCGAAAGCGUGGGGAGCAAACAGGCUUAGAUACCCUGGUAGA
RNAcentral lists this ribosomal RNA (460 nucleotides) under uncultured bacterium. RNAcentral's name for it is "bacterial SSU rRNA". It matches the Rfam family "Bacterial small subunit ribosomal RNA", at positions 343 to 794 of the family's 1533-position model. The record is from RNAcentral.